Molecule: ribosomal RNA, 1340 nt
Filed under: uncultured bacterium
Lineage: Bacteria
Description: bacterial SSU rRNA
Rfam family: Bacterial small subunit ribosomal RNA
Source: RNAcentral
GACGAACGCUGGCGGCGUGCUUAACACAUGCAAGUCGAACGGAAAGGCCUCUGCUUGCAGGGGUGCUCGAGUGGCGAACGGGUGAGUAACACGUGGGUGAUCUGCCUUGUACUCUGGGAUAAGCUUGGGAAACUGGGUCUAAUACCGGAUAGGAACUGCCUUUAGUGUGGUGGUUGGAAAGUUUUUUCGGUGCAAGAUGAGCUCGCGGCCUAUCAGCUUGUUGGUGGGGUAAUGGCCUACCAAGGCGUCGACGGGUAGCCGGCCUGAGAGGGUGUACGGCCACAUUGGGACUGAGAUACGGCCCAGACUCCUACGGGAGGCAGCAGUGGGGAAUAUUGCACAAUGGGCGGAAGCCUGAUGCAGCGACGCCGCGUGGGGGAUGACGGCCUUCGGGUUGUAAACUCCUUUCGACAGGGACGAAGCGCAAGUGACGGUACCUGUAUAAGAAGCACCGGCUAACUACGUGCCAGCAGCCGCGGUAAUACGUAGGGUGCGAGCGUUGUCCGGAAUUACUGGGCGUAAAGAGCUCGUAGGUGGUUUGUCGCGUCGUCUGUGAAAUUCCGGGGCUUAACUCCGGGCGUGCAGGCGAUACGGGCAUAACUUGAGUGCUGUAGGGGAGACUGGAAUUCCUGGUGUAGCGGUGAAAUGCGCAGAUAUCAGGAGGAACACCGAUGGCGAAGGCAGGUCUCUGGGCAGUUACUGACGCUGAGGAGCGAAAGCAUGGGUAGCGAACAGGAUUAGAUACCCUGGUAGUCCAUGCCGUAAACGGUGGGCGCUAGGUGUGGGGGGCUUCCACGUCUUCUGUGCCGUAGCUAACGCAUUAAGCGCCCCGCCUGGGGAGUACGGCCGCAAGGCUAAAACUCAAAGGAAUUGACGGGGGCCCGCACAAGCGGCGGAGCAUGUGGAUUAAUUCGAUGCAACGCGAAGAACCUUACCUGGGCUUGACAUACACCAGAUCGCUGCAGAGAUGUAGUUUCCCUUGUGGUUGGUGUACAGGUGGUGCAUGGUUGUCGUCAGCUCGUGUCGUGAGAUGUUGGGUUAAGUCCCGCAACGAGCGCAACCCUUGUCUUAUGUUGCCAGCAUUUUAGUUGGGGACUCAUGAGAGACUGCCGGGGUUAACUCGGAGGAAGGUGGGGAUGACGUCAAAUCAUCAUGCCCCUUAUGUCCAGGGCUUCACACAUGCUACAAUGGUCGGUACAACGCGCAGCAACACUGUGAGGUGGAGCGAAUCGCUGAAAGCCGGUCUUAGUUCGGAUUGGGGUCUGCAACUCGACCCCAUGAAGUCGGAGUCGCUAGUAAUCGUAGAUCAGCAAUGCUGCGGUGAAUACGUUCCCGGGCCU